GCGGCAGUAGUGCAGCAGUAGGGCGGUCGACUCAUGAUCGUAAGAUUGCAGGUUCAAUUCCUGCCUUGCACG
Oryzias latipes (Japanese medaka) is the source of this 72-nucleotide non-coding RNA. The record is from Rfam. Lineage: Eukaryota; Metazoa; Chordata; Actinopteri; Beloniformes; Adrianichthyidae.